AACGGCGGCCGUAACUAUAACGGUCCUAAGGUAGCGAAAUUCCUUGUCGGGUAAGUUCCGACCUGCACGAAUGGCGUAAUGAUGGCCAGGCUGUCUCCACCCGAGACUCAGUGAAAUUGAACUCGCUGUGAAGAUGCAGUGUACCCGCGGCAAGACGGAAAGACCCCGUGAACCUUUACUAUAGCUUGACACUGAACAUUGAGCCUUGAUGUGUAGGAUAGGUGGGAGGCUUUGAAGCGUGGACGCCAGUCUGCGUGGAGCCGACCUUGAAAUACCACCCUUUAAUGUUUGAUGUUCUAACGUGGACCCGUAAUCCGGGUUGCGGACAGUGUCUGGUGGGUAGUUUGACUGGGGCGGUCUCCUCCUAAAGAGUAACGGAGGAGCACGAAGGUUGGUUAAUCCUGGUCGGACAUCAGGAGGUUAGUGCAAUGGCAUAAGCCAGCUUGACUGCGAGCGUGACGGCGCGAGCAGGUGCGAAAGCAGGUCAUAGUGAUCCGGUGGUUCUGAAUGGAAGGGCCAUCGCUCAACGGAUAAAAGGUACUCCGGGGAUAACAGGCUGAUACCGCCCAAGAGUUCAUAUCGACGGCGGUGUUUGGCACCUCGAUGUCGGCUCAUCACAUCCUGGGGCUGAAGUAGGUCCCAAGGGUAUGGCUGUUCGCCAUUUAAAGUGGUACGCGAGCUGGGUUUAGAACGUCGUGAGACAGUUCGGUCCCUAUCUGCCGUGGGCGAUGGAGAACUGAGGGGGGCUGCUCCUAGUACGAGAGGACCGGAGUGGACGCAUCACUGGUGUUCGGGUUGUCAUGCCAAUGGCACUGCCCGGUAGCUAAAUGCGGAAGAGAUAAGUGCUGAAAGCAUCUAAGCACGAAACUUGCCCCGAGAUGAGUUCUCCCUGAGACUUAGAGUCUCCUGAAGGAACGUUGAAGACGACGACGUUGAUAGGCCGGGUGUGUAAGCGCAGCGAUGCGUUGAGCUAACCGGUACUAAUGAACCGUGAGGCUUAACCUU
This 1005-nucleotide ribosomal RNA is filed under the name Salmonella enterica subsp. enterica serovar Manhattan. RNAcentral's name for it is "bacterial LSU rRNA". It matches the Rfam family "Bacterial large subunit ribosomal RNA", at positions 1926 to 2925 of the family's 2925-position model. The record is from RNAcentral. Lineage: Bacteria; Pseudomonadati; Pseudomonadota; Gammaproteobacteria; Enterobacterales; Enterobacteriaceae.